Long non-coding RNA from Phycodurus eques (leafy seadragon), 2302 nucleotides. RefSeq lists it as uncharacterized. The record is from RefSeq and is a predicted model, not a curated record. The transcript has 4 exons. Lineage: Eukaryota; Metazoa; Chordata; Actinopteri; Syngnathiformes; Syngnathidae.
CGGCUCAGAAAAUGGAUGGAUGGAUGUAAAUAUCUGAUGGCCAAAGAAGUCGGCGGUGUGGGACAGCACGCCCGCGAACCUAGUGAGGAUAAGCGGAACGGAAGAUGAAUGAAUGAAUGAAUUUCAAUUGAGUUGUACAGGUUCAUAAGUCACAUUAAUGGUGGAAAAAGUUUUGAAAUGAUCUGUCUUGGACUAAUUUUCUGAUGCAAUUGGACAAUUUUGCAUCAGUGCUACCAGGGGGCCACAUAAGACUGUCCACUUCCUAACCACAAAUAUGACAAAAAUGCUGUUUUAAAUAAGGACAAAAUAUGUACAUAUUUUUAUUGAAUCUAUGUACAGCACAGUAUCUUAAUAUAUUUUAAUGCUCAAAUGCAUCUAUAAAAAAAAUCUAGUCUUCGACUACAAAGGGAUUCCCCCCCCCCAGUGCAAUAAAAAACACUAUUCAAAGAUGGCAGAAAACUGCUGAACAGCAAACCAAAAUAAAGUGCAAUAACUAAUUUUCUGCAUUUUUUCAAAAUCAUAAAUUCACUUAAAGAUUUUAAUAUUAUACGUUAGUCCUGCAUGUCAUUAAAAAUCCACAAAUUAACAAACCGACUCACUCACUCACUUGUAUGAUAGAGCAGAAAAGUUCACUCUGCUUUGUUGUCGCCAUCCAUUCGUAACAGCCGCUUGUCCAAGCCUCCGUACGCGUUUGCAACACUACUAACAGCGCUGAAUACAAGUAUGUCCAUGUUUUUUAGAGGGGAUACAUUUGAGUAACUCCUCAUGCACUUCAAAUGCACUGUCAACGAUUCUUGCGGGGGGGAAAUUGCUGUUGUUUGGCUGAUAGUGUCUUUAUGUAAACUAGGCACAUAGGUUUGCCUUUUAAUUCGGUGAACACAUAAUCUGCUUCCAAUUUUACCUGGAAGACACCAUUUUCUUGAUGUAAUUUGCUCGCCGUUCCGUGCCCUGCCUUCUGCUCUGACAGAAGAGACACAGUGAAAGCAGUAGCAAGCAAUGUCUGCCGUGUAGAGGAAAAUAUGUUUAUCAUUUUCCAAAAUGAAUCGAGGGCCACUCCGAGUGUGGGUGCGGGCUGCAUGCGGCCCGGCGGCUGCUAGUUGCCCAUAUGUUUUAUAGACUUUCUUUUCUGUUUUGGAAAGGUAAGACACUGUGGCUGUGUUGCCAUGGUAACCCAAACAUUGACAGUCGUCGUGUCCCUGAAUGAUGAUGUCACAGCAUCCCAUCAAGGGCAUCUCAACCCUUCCAGUGAUGAAUGGGUGGAAUGCUUGCACGGGCUGCCUAUGGCCCACGGGCCGUAGCUUGCCCACCCAUCUUCGUCAUGUACCAAACGAAAUGUCCGUUGAGACAAAGGAUGAAUGAAUGCGAGUUAGACAGCGGCGGCGGCGGCGGAGGAGACGUCACAUGAUGCUUCUGCAGUGCAUCAAGGGAACUGGCCCGUCUGUGACUCAUCCCGUCAGGAUGGGGAGGGGAGCGUGAUGGAGGGAAGAGGAAGAAGAAGAAAAAGAGGAGUGGACAACUUGUGGCCCUGAUGGUCUCCCUUCUUUAUCUAGCUCCUCUCCUUGGACGUUUCAUUAGGUACACCGCCACAAUACAGUGACAACCCAUGGAAUAGGGUGUUUGAGGUUGGAUACCCCAACAUGUAUGCAUGACAAAAGAUACGGUAUCAUAUUUGAGUAUUUCCUCAAUUAGUGGACAAGUGGUUGCCUACUAAGCCAUACCCAUACAGUGUAUAUAGAUUGUGUUUUGGAACAAUACUGAACUAUAUAAUUUCAUAUAGACCUGUGGCUAAAAAGCAAAGUGUGGAGAGUCUCUGUUGCUGAAAUGCACAGGUGCAAGUCAUUUAAUAGGAGUGAUUGAUCAUUGCCAACCGCCUCUCAAAAAAGUAUUUUAUUGUCAUCCAUUUCCUCUAUUUGAGGCAAUCUGCUUCUUCCUUGACAAUCACAGCAUGUUUUUGUGGUUCAAAACCCAUAAAAAAAACUAUCGCUUAACAAAAGCCUGUUUUAGAGAUCCCCGAAUGCACCCGUGUCUCCCCUCUGCAAAAGCACUUCCUGAUCCUGCAGUCACGUGACCUCUGCCACUUCCUGCUUCCUAUUACGCUAACGUUAGCCUGUUUGAGCCCCUGGAGAUUGUUUGUCAAAUAUGGUGAAGGAAAAUUAUCUUCUUUUUGUCUUGUUUACCACCAAAAAGCAUGUUUAAACUGUUUUCCUGCCACGUACAACAGUCUUUUGUUAAGUUGCCAAGUGUGGUUGUGAUUUUCCGUUCGCUUGAAUGUGCUGUUCAGUCUACUGACAUGACUAUUAUU